GGGGAACCACCCUGCGUUCCCCUGUUACUUGAAUUAUCCAGGUGAACACAGCUGGUGGUAUCUCAGU
RNAcentral lists this microRNA precursor (67 nucleotides) under Daphnia magna. RNAcentral describes it as "Dma-Mir-317_pre stem-loop". Lineage: Eukaryota; Metazoa; Arthropoda; Branchiopoda; Diplostraca; Daphniidae. The record is from RNAcentral.